Molecule: ribosomal RNA, 368 nt
Filed under: Pichia kudriavzevii
Lineage: Eukaryota; Fungi; Ascomycota; Pichiomycetes; Pichiales; Pichiaceae
Description: partial large subunit ribosomal RNA
Rfam family: Eukaryotic large subunit ribosomal RNA
Source: RNAcentral
UGCAGCUCCAAGCGGGUGGUAAAUUCCAUCUAAGGCUAAAUACUGGCGAGAGACCGAUAGCGAACAAGUACUGUGAAGGAAAGAUGAAAAGCACUUUGAAAAGAGAGUGAAACAGCACGUGAAAUUGUUGAAAGGGAAGGGUAUUGCGCCCGACAUGGGGAUUGCGCACCGCUGCCUCUCGUGGGCGGCGCUCUGGGCUUUCCCUGGGCCAGCAUCGGUUCUUGCUGCAGGAGAAGGGGUUCUGGAACGUGGCUCUUCGGAGUGUUAUAGCCAGGGCCAGAUGCUGCGUGCGGGGACCGAGGACUGCGGCCGUGUAGGUCACGGAUGCUGGCAGAACGGCGCAACACCGCCCGUCUUGAAACACGGAC